CGUAGGGACCGAGCGUUGUCCGGAUUCAUUGGGCGUAAAGAGCCCGUAGGCGGCCACUCAAGUCGAAUGUGAAACCUCGAGGCUUAACCUCGAGCCUGCAUUCGAUACUGGGCGGCUAGAGUCUGGUAGGGGGAUCUGGAAUUCCUGGUGUAGCGGUGGAAUGCGCAGAUAUCAGGAGGAACACCGGUGGCGAAGGCGGGAACCUGGGCCAGUACUGACGCUGAGGAGCGAAAGCGUGGGGAGCAAACAGGAUUAGAUACCCUGGUAGUCCACGCCGUAAACGAUGGGCGCUAGGUGUGGGAGGUCAUCGACUCCUUCCGUGCCGCAGCUAACGCAUUAAGCGCCCCGCCUGGGGAGUACGGCCGCAAGGCUA
RNAcentral lists this ribosomal RNA (373 nucleotides) under uncultured organism. Its description in RNAcentral is "bacterial SSU rRNA". It matches the Rfam family "Bacterial small subunit ribosomal RNA", at positions 526 to 896 of the family's 1533-position model. The record is from RNAcentral.